This 634-nucleotide ribosomal RNA is filed under the name uncultured bacterium. RNAcentral describes it as "bacterial SSU rRNA". The stretch from base 1 to 545 matches the Rfam family "Bacterial small subunit ribosomal RNA", at positions 338 to 873 of the family's 1533-position model. The record is from RNAcentral.
CCUACGGGAGGCAGCAGUGGGGAAUAUUGGACAAUGGGCGCAAGCCUGAUCCAGCCAUGCCGCGUGUGUGAAGAAGGCCUUCGGGUUGUAAAGCACUUUUAUCCGGAAAGAAAAGCUUUGGGUUAAUACCCUGAAGUCAUGACGGUACCGGAAGAAUAAGCACCGGCUAACUUCGUGCCAGCAGCCGCGGUAAUACGAAGGGUGCAAGCGUUACUCGGAAUUACUGGGCGUAAAGCGUGCGUAGGUGGUUUGUUAAGUCUGAUGUGAAAGCCCUAGGCUCAACCUGGGAAUUGCAUUGGAUACUGGCAGGCUAGAGUGCGGUAGAGGAUAGUGGAAUUCCCGGUGUAGCAGUGAAAUGCGUAGAGAUCGGGAGGAACAUCUGUGGCGAAGGCGACUAUCUGGGCCAGCACUGACACUGAGGCACGAAAGCGUGGGGAGCAAACAGGAUUAGAUACCCUGGUAGUCCACGCCCUAAACCGAUGCGAACUGGAUGUUGGGUGCAACUAGGCACUCAGUAUCGAAGCUAACGCGUUAAGUUCGCCGCCUGGGGGAGGUACGGUCGCGAGACGUAGAACGUUAAAGGUAAGUUAGUACGGACGUGAGACGNGCCGACGGACGACGACGAGGGAGGAGG